Molecule: ribosomal RNA, 778 nt
Filed under: uncultured Enterobacter sp.
Lineage: Bacteria; Pseudomonadati; Pseudomonadota; Gammaproteobacteria; Enterobacterales; Enterobacteriaceae
Description: bacterial SSU rRNA
Rfam family: Bacterial small subunit ribosomal RNA
Source: RNAcentral
GUCGAACGGUAACAGGAAGCAGCUUGCUGCUUCGCUGACGAGUGGCGGACGGGUGAGUAAUGUCUGGGAAACUGCCUGAUGGAGGGGGAUAACUACUGGAAACGGUAGCUAAUACCGCAUAACGUCGCAAGACCAAAGAGGGGGACCUUCGGGCCUCUUGCCAUCGGAUGUGCCCAGAUGGGAUUAGCUAGUAGGUGGGGUAACGGCUCACCUAGGCGACGAUCCCUAGCUGGUCUGAGAGGAUGACCAGCCACACUGGAACUGAGACACGGUCCAGACUCCUACGGGAGGCAGCAGUGGGGAAUAUUGCACAAUGGGCGCAAGCCUGAUGCAGCCAUGCCGCGUGUAUGAAGAAGGCCUUCGGGUUGUAAAGUACUUUCAGCGGGGAGGAAGGCGAUAAGGUUAAUAACCUUGUCGAUUGACGUUACCCGCAGAAGAAGCACCGGCUAACUCCGUGCCAGCAGCCGCGGUAAUACGGAGGGUGCAAGCGUUAAUCGGAAUUACUGGGCGUAAAGCGCACGCAGGCGGUCUGUCAAGUCGGAUGUGAAAUCCCCGGGCUCAACCUGGGAACUGCAUUCGAAACUGGCAGGCUAGAGUCUUGUAGAGGGGGGUAGAAUUCCAGGUGUAGCGGUGAAAUGCGUAGAGAUCUGGAGGAAUACCGGUGGCGAAGGCGGCCCCCUGGACAAAGACUGACGCUCAGGUGCGAAAGCGUGGGGAGCAAACAGGAUUAGAUACCCCGGUAGUCCACGCCGUAAACGAUGUCGACUUGGAGGUUGUG